AUGCGGAGGGCGCAAGCGUUGUUCGGAAUCAUUGGGCGUAAAGCGCGUGUAGGCGGCUUGGCAAGUCGGGUGUGAAAGCCCGGGGCUCAACCCCGGAACUGCACUCGAAACUGCCAAGCUAGAGUCCCGGAGAGGAAGGCGGAAUUCCCGGUGUAGAGGUGAAAUUCGUAGAUAUCGGGAGGAACACCAGCGGCGAAGGCGGCCUUCUGGACGGUGACUGACGCUGAGACGCGAAAGCGUGGGGAGCAAACAGGAUUAGAAACCCCAGUAGUCC
This 274-nucleotide ribosomal RNA is filed under the name uncultured bacterium. RNAcentral's name for it is "partial 16S ribosomal RNA". It matches the Rfam family "Bacterial small subunit ribosomal RNA", at positions 523 to 796 of the family's 1533-position model. The record is from RNAcentral.